RNAcentral lists this ribosomal RNA (497 nucleotides) under uncultured bacterium. RNAcentral's name for it is "partial 16S ribosomal RNA". It matches the Rfam family "Bacterial small subunit ribosomal RNA", at positions 28 to 507 of the family's 1533-position model. The record is from RNAcentral.
GACGAACGCUGGCGGCGUGCCUAAUACAUGCAAGUUGAGCGAUGAAGAUUGGUGCUUGCCCCAAUUUGAAGAGCAGCGAACGGGUGAGUAACGCGUGGGGAAUCUGCCUUUGAGCGGGGGACAACAUUUGGAAACGAAUGCUAAUACCGCAUAACAACUUUAAACAUAAGUUUUAAGUUUGAAAGAUGCAAUUGCAUCACUCAAAGAUGAUCCCGCGUUGUAUUAGCUAGUUGGUGAGGUAAAGGCUCACCAAGGCGAUGAUACAUAGCCGACCUGAGAGGGUGAUCGGCAACAUUGGGACUGGGACACGGCCAAAGCUCCUACGGAAGGCAGCAGUAGGGAAUCUUCGGCAAUGGACGAAAGUCUGACCGAGCAACGCCACGUGAGUGAAGAUGGUUUUCGGCUCGUAAAACUCGGUUGGUAGGGAAGAUCGUUGGUGGGAGUGGAAAGCUCAUCAAGUGACGGUAACUACCCAGAAAGGGACGGCUAACUACGUG